AUGAACGCUGGCGGCGUGCCUAAUACAUGCAAGUCGAGCGAACGGACGAGAAGCUUGCUUCUCUGAUGUUAGCGGCGGACGGGUGAGUAACACGUGGAUAACCUACCUAUAAGACUGGGAUAACUUCGGGAAACCGGAGCUAAUACCGGAUAAUAUUUUGAACCGCAUGGUUCAAAAGUGAAAGACGGUCUUGCUGUCACUUAUAGAUGGAUCCGCGCUGCAUUAGCUAGUUGGUAAGGUAACGGCUUACCAAGGCAACGAUGCAUAGCCGACCUGAGAGGGUGAUCGGCCACCCUGGAACUGAGACACGGUCCAGACUCCUACGGGAGGCAGCAGUAGGGAAUCUUCCGCAAUGGGCGAAAGCCUGACGGAGCAACGCCGCGUGAGUGAUGAAGGUCUUCGGAUCGUAAAACUCUGUUAUUAGGGAAGAACAUAUGUGUAAGUAACUGUGCACAUCUUGACGGUACCUAAUCAGAAAGCCACGGCUAACUACGUG
This 496-nucleotide ribosomal RNA is filed under the name uncultured bacterium. RNAcentral describes it as "partial 16S ribosomal RNA". It matches the Rfam family "Bacterial small subunit ribosomal RNA", at positions 29 to 507 of the family's 1533-position model. The record is from RNAcentral.